Molecule: ribosomal RNA, 484 nt
Filed under: uncultured bacterium
Lineage: Bacteria
Description: partial 16S ribosomal RNA
Rfam family: Bacterial small subunit ribosomal RNA
Source: RNAcentral
AUUGAACGCUGGCGGCAGGCCUAACACAUGCAAGUCGAGCGGAUGAAGGGAGCUUGCUCCUGGAUUCAGCGGCGGACGGGUGAGUAAUGCCUAGGAAUCUGCCUGGUAGUGGGGGAUAACGUCCGGAAACGGGCGCUAAUACCGCAUACGUCCUGAGGGAGAAAGUGGGGGAUCUUCGGACCUCACGCUAUCAGAUGAGCCUAGGUCGGAUUAGCUAGUUGGUGGGGUAAAGGCCUACCAAGGCGACGAUCCGUAACUGGUCUGAGAGGAUGAUCGGUCACACUGGAACUGAGACACGGUCCAGACUCCUACGGGAGGCAGCAGUGGGGAAUAUUGGACAAUGGGCGAAAGCCUGAUCCAGCCAUGCCGCGUGUGUGAAGAAGGUCUUCGGAUUGUAAAGCCCUUUAAGUUGGGAGGAAGGGCAGUAAGUUAAUACCUUGCUGUUUUGACGUUACCAACAGAAGAAGCACCGGCUAACUUCGUG